GAGUUUGAUCAUGGCUCAGGACGAACGCUGGCGGCGUGCCUAAUACAUGCAAGUCGAACGCUUUUUUCAAUCAUCGUAGCUUGCUACACCGAUUGAAAAUUGAGUGGCGAACGGGUGAGUAACACGUGGGUAACCUGCCCAAAAGAGGGGGAUAACACUUGGAAACAGGUGCUAAUACCGCAUAACCAUGAUGACCGCAUGGUCAUUAUGUAAAAGAUGGUUUCGGCUAUCACUUCUGGAUGGACCCCGCGGCGUAUUAACUUGUUGGUGGGGUAACGGCCUACCAAGGUGAUGAUACGUAGCCGAACUGAGAGGUUGAUCGGCCACAUUGGGACUGAGACACGGGCCCAAACUCCUACGGGAGGCAGCAGUGGGGAAUAUUGCACAAUGGGGGAAACCCUGAUGCAGCAACGCCGCGUGAGUGAUGACGGCCUUCGGG
This 439-nucleotide ribosomal RNA is filed under the name uncultured bacterium. RNAcentral describes it as "bacterial SSU rRNA". It matches the Rfam family "Bacterial small subunit ribosomal RNA", at positions 9 to 422 of the family's 1533-position model. The record is from RNAcentral.